Long non-coding RNA from Oncorhynchus tshawytscha (Chinook salmon), 2015 nucleotides. Lineage: Eukaryota; Metazoa; Chordata; Actinopteri; Salmoniformes; Salmonidae. The record is from Ensembl.
UCUGGUGGGGCCUGAUCACCCUCACUAGAAAGGCUAGAGACAUCAAAUCACAUGCCUGUCACACCCUGAUCUGUUUCACCUGUCUUUGUGCUUGUCUCCACCCCCCUCCAGGUGUCGUCCAUCUUCCCCAUUAUCCCUGGUGCAUUUAUACCUGUGUUCUCUGUUUCUGUUGCCAGUUUGUCUUGUCAAACCUACUAGCGUGUUUUCCCACACUCCUGUUUCUUGUUAGUUCUAUUUUCUAGUUCUCUAGUACCACAACGGUAACCUCCCAGCCCCUCAGUAAUCUGGCUGUCAGCAACGCGUCUCUCCCUGCCACCCCGGCUUCCCAAGAAUCCUGCUUACCUCCAACGGAACGCUUCGCUGGAGAGUCGGGAACCUGUCUGCUGUUUCUCGCUCAGGGUUCCCUCAUCUUCGAGCUGCAGCCCUCCUCCUUCCCCUUGGACUGCUCGAUGAUGGCGUGCCGACUAAAAGACCAGGCUCACCAGCAUGGGCGAGUACUCUGGUUCCCGUGGUGUUGGGAUUCUUUUGGCUUCAGCGACACAGAUGAGUGGUGGUGGAUUGGCCCCAACCUACGUCCGGAGUGCAGCUGCAACUCUUCCUGGGUUUAAAAAUAAAUAAAUGCCGCUUAAUCCGGGGUUACAGCACCCUGGCUUCCCCCCUGUCUGUACUCACCUCUCCCAAGGUUCGUUCACGUGGUCCCCAGCUGCUGACCGAGCGUUCUGGGACCUCAAGCACCAUUUCACCACAGAUCCCAUAUUAGUUCAUCCUGACCCAUCCUAUCAGUUCGUGGUGGAGGCCGACUCUUCAGAUGUCGGAGUGGGGGCUGUUCUGUUCCAGCGUUAUGCCCUGGACCUCAAGCUGCAUCCCUGCGCUGACUUCUCCCAUCUUUUUAACGCCACAGAGAGGAAUUACGAUGUGGGGAAUUGUCAGAUUCUCACGGUGAAGAUGGCAAUGGAGGAGUGGAGGCACUGGUUGGAGGGGGCGGAAUAUCCUUUUAUUGUGUGGACUGAUCACCAUAACCUGGAAUAUCUCCGCACCGCCAAGCGUCUCAAUUCCAGGCAAGCUAGGUGGGUUUAACUUCUCCCUUUCCUACCACCCGGGAUCCAAGAAUGUCAAACCGGAUGCACUUUCAUGCCGCUAUAGCCCCGUGGCUACUGCCUUGGACCCCGAGACUAUCCUGGCGGCACUCAGCUGGGGAAUAGAGAAUCAGGUCUGUGAGGUGCAGCAUUCCCAACCAGACCCCGGGGGGAGGGGGCAGAUAACCGGAUGUUUGUUCCUGACGCUUUUCCGCCCCUCGGUCCUGGAGUGGGCACACUCCUUCAGGCUUGUGUGCCACCCGGGCUCUCGUUGGACCUGGCCUGUUGUGCACCAACUCUUUUGGUGGCCUACCAUGGUCCUUGACGUCUUCGCGUUUGUUGCCGCCUGCAUGAAUAAAACUCCUCUGCAAGCUCUGGCUGGUCUCCUUCCAUCGAUUCCUGUUCCUUGUCGUCCCUGGUCAUACAUAUCCCUGGACUUUGUCACUGGUCUUCCCACAUCUGAUGGAAACACCGUCAUCCUUACAGUAGUGAACUCAUCACCGAGUUCCACUGCCUGCACCCCGGUCAAUCAAGUAUGAGCCCAGGACCUAAGCCCUAGGACCAUGCCUCAGGACUACCUGACAUGAUGACUCCUUGCUGUCCCCAGUCCACCUGGCUGUGCUGCUGCUCCAGUUUCAACUGUUCUGCCUGUGAUAAUUAUUAUUUGAACAUGCUGGUCAUUUAUGAACAUCUUGGCCAUGUUCUGUUAUAACCUCCACCCGGCACAGCCAGAAGAGUACUGGCCACCCUACAUAGCCUGGUUCCUCUCUAGGUUUCUUCCUAGGUUUUGGCCUUUCUAGGGAGUUUUUCCUAGCCACCGUGCUUCUACACCUGCAUUGUUUGCUGUUUGGGGUUUUAGGCUGGGUUUCUGUACAGCACUUUGAGAUAUCAGCUGAUGUACGAAGGGCUCUAUAAAUAAAUUUGAUUUGAAUCAUCAAA